GCCUGUAGCUCAACUGGUAGAGCACUAGGAUUUCAACCUGGAGGUUGCGGGUUCAAUCCCCGCAGUCG
This 68-nucleotide transfer RNA is filed under the name Globisporangium irregulare DAOM BR486. Its description in RNAcentral is "tRNA-Glu for anticodon UUC". The stretch from base 6 to 63 matches the Rfam family "tRNA", at positions 8 to 63 of the family's 71-position model. Rfam says of the family: Transfer RNA (tRNA) molecules are approximately 80 nucleotides in length. Their secondary structure includes four short double-helical elements and three loops (D, anti-codon, and T loops). Further hydrogen bonds mediate the characteristic L-shaped molecular structure. tRNAs have two regions of fundamental functional importance: the anti-codon, which is responsible for specific mRNA codon recognition, and the 3' end, to which the tRNAs corresponding amino acid is attached (by aminoacyl-tRNA synthetases). tRNAs cope with the degeneracy of the genetic code in two manners: having more than one tRNA (with a specific anti-codon) for a particular amino acid; and 'wobble' base-pairing, i.e. permitting non-standard base-pairing at the 3rd anti-codon position. The record is from RNAcentral. Lineage: Eukaryota; Oomycota; Peronosporomycetes; Pythiales; Pythiaceae.